CACAAUCUGAUCGGCUUUAAGGUGCGCUGCGGGAGCAGGCGGGCUUGGGUCGCGCAUGCGCUUUUUUGCGGAAAAUAGGAGGUGGGGCUCGGGCGCAAUGGUGGGCGUGAUUGGCAGGGCCCUGCCCCUCUAACGGGUCCUGCCGACAUUUCCGAGAAGAAAA
Spea bombifrons (plains spadefoot toad) is the source of this 163-nucleotide long non-coding RNA. RefSeq lists it as uncharacterized. The record is from RefSeq and is a predicted model, not a curated record. Lineage: Eukaryota; Metazoa; Chordata; Amphibia; Anura; Pelobatidae. The transcript has 2 exons.